CCAGGCAGCCCUAAGAAAAGCUUUUUAUGAGGUAAAAAGUUAAGACUUCAAGGGCAGCAGCGGUGGUAAAUGUCUUGUGACAUUCACUGCUGCAACUCCAGCUCUCCCCAGCGGCGCUGUACACUCCCGAGCCCUGGUUGCCGGGUACCUACAGCGGAGGCUCCGGUAUUCUUCACGUUAGAGACACACAGCUGAGGCUCUCCAGGAUCGCGUGGCCGCAAUUCGGGAGCUGAUUUACUUUGCCUGUGGUAGCACCCCCUAAAUGGUUAUGAAUAACGCAGAUGUGUUUUGAAUAAUACAAAUUGGGGUCAUUCUCGGAAUAAGAAUUAAACCUGUGCGACCAGUACUACAAUUAUUAACAUCCCCCUUCCAGCCUACAUCCCCCAGCCAGCCAACAUCACCACCAUCGGAAUGGGCAGCAGAGGCCCCAGGAGCCACUUCAGGGAGGUGGGCAAGUGGCAGAGGAGAAUGUUGCAGUUGGAGAUCCCACCAGUUUGCCUGGGAUUGUGGCCAGCUUGAAAACCAACCUGAGGGCCGUGCUGGCUGAUAUAGAAAAAUUGCAAAAACAUUUCAAAAAACAAAAAAACAAAAAGCUGUUCCCCCAAAAAUUUUAUUUUCACAAAUUCAUAAAAAUUGUAAAAAAAAAAAUGAGUAGCCCCAGCGUCAUGCGGUGGAUUUGGUAGAAGCCGGAGAGGACUUCCGCUCUUGGGAACUUGCCACAGCCUGUGACCUCUUUCCCCGUCCUCUUCCUCUCGCACCAAGGAAGGAGGAUCCUCGUUCUUUUUUUAAUUUAUGGGGCCGAAAGGA
Molecule: long non-coding RNA, 807 nt
Organism: Pseudophryne corroboree (corroboree frog)
Lineage: Eukaryota; Metazoa; Chordata; Amphibia; Anura; Myobatrachidae
Exons: 3
Source: RefSeq, a predicted model, not a curated record